UAGCCUCAACUCAUGUGAGACUACCCCCUGAAUUUAAGCAUAUUAAUAAGGGGAGGAAAAGAAACUAAAUAGGAUUCCCCUAGUAGCGGCGAGCGAAAAGGGAAAAGUCCACCACGUAGAAAUCGAGAA
This 129-nucleotide ribosomal RNA is filed under the name Simulium sp. 3 BR-2011. RNAcentral's name for it is "partial 28S ribosomal RNA". It matches the Rfam family "Eukaryotic large subunit ribosomal RNA", at positions 1 to 129 of the family's 3401-position model. Lineage: Eukaryota; Metazoa; Arthropoda; Insecta; Diptera; Simuliidae. The record is from RNAcentral.